Molecule: ribosomal RNA, 480 nt
Filed under: uncultured bacterium
Lineage: Bacteria
Description: partial 16S ribosomal RNA
Rfam family: Bacterial small subunit ribosomal RNA
Source: RNAcentral
GACGAACGUUGGCGGCGCGGAUUAGGCAUGCAAGUCGUACGAGAAUCGUAGCAAUACGAGGAAAGUGGCGGAAGGGAGAGGAUUACGUGGGAAUCUACCCUCAGAACUGGGAUAGCGGCGGGAAACUGCCGGUAAUACCAGAUAAUGUCUGUGGACCAAAGGUGUGAUUCCGUCUGGGGAUGAGCCCACGUCCUAUUAGCUAGUUGGCAGGGUAAUGGCCUACCAAGGCAAUGAUGGGUAGCGGGUGUGAGAGCAUGACCCGCCUCACUGGGACUGAGAACUGCCCAGACACCUACGGGUGGCUGCAGUCGAGAAUCUUCGGCAAUGAGCGCAAGCUUGACCGAGCGACGCCGCGUGCGGGAUGAAGGCCUUCGGGUUGUAAACCGCUGUCGUAGGGGAGCAAGAGAUGAGGGUACUCCCUCUGAUUUGAGCGAUCCUAGGAGGAAGGACGGGCUAAGUUCGUGCCAGCAACCGCGGUAA